GGAUUAGAUACCCUGGUAGUCCAUGCCGUAAACGUUGGGCGCUAGGUGUGGGGCUCAUUCCACGAGUUCCGUGCCGCAGCAAACGCAUUAAGCGCCCCGCCUGGGGAGUACGGCCGCAAGGCUAAAACUCAAAGGAAUUGACGGGGCCCCGCACAAGCGGCGGAGCAUGCGGAUUAAUUCGAUGCAACGCGAAGAACCUUACCAAGGCUUGACAUGCAGGGAAAUCUCACAGAGAUGUGAGGUCCGCAAGGGUCCUGCGCAGGUGGUGCAUGGUCGUCGUCAGCUCGUGUCGUGAGAUGUUGGGUUAAGUCCCGCAACGAGCGCAACCCUCGUCUUAUGUUGCCAGCGGAUAAUGCCGGGGACUCAUAAGAGACUGCCGGGGUC
Molecule: ribosomal RNA, 384 nt
Filed under: uncultured bacterium
Lineage: Bacteria
Description: bacterial SSU rRNA
Rfam family: Bacterial small subunit ribosomal RNA
Source: RNAcentral